RNAcentral lists this ribosomal RNA (450 nucleotides) under uncultured bacterium. Its description in RNAcentral is "partial 16S ribosomal RNA". It matches the Rfam family "Bacterial small subunit ribosomal RNA", at positions 354 to 796 of the family's 1533-position model. The record is from RNAcentral.
GUGGGGAAUUUUGGACAAUGGGCGCAAGCCUGAUCCAGCAAUGCCGCGUGUGUGAAGAAGGCCUUCGGGUUGUAAAGCACUUUUGGCAGGAAAGAAAUAGCGCGUGCUAAUACCAUGCGCGAAUGACGGUACCUGCAGAAUAAGCACCGGCUAACUACGUGCCAGCAGCCGCGGUAAGACGUAGGGUGCAAGCGUUAAUCGGAAUUACUGGGCGUAAAGCGUGCGCAGGCGGUUUUGUAAGACAGGUGUGAAAUCCCCGGGCUCAACCUGGGAACUGCACUUGUGACUGCAAGGCUAGAGUGUGUCAGAGGGAGGUGGAAUUCCGCGGGUAGCAGUGAAAUGCGUAGAGAUGCGGAGGAACACCGAUGGCGAAGGCAGCCUCCUGGGAUAACACUGACGCUCAGGCACGAAAGCGUGGGGAGCAAACAGGAUUAGAAACCCCGGUAGUCC